AGGAGGUUCUGAGGAGAUUUGUAGCCAGGGAAGAAGUACCACACUGUUGCAGCCGAGGCUCUAGGAAGUUCCAAUGUCACUGUCAAACCAUGUUCAGAACGGAGAAAGCAGAGACAGGCGGGAGUGGGAAGGAUGGGGCGACGUCAGCAGAGGAGCAGAUAUGGAAGAGCCAGCAGCAGGACUUCAGAGAGAAGCAGUAUUUGGGGAAGAAGUCAGCCAUGUCCUCUGCCACCAAAAGGAGGACUGAGCCAAGGCUGAGAACAGACCCCUGGAUUUGGCGGCUUGCACUUUGCCUGGAAGCUCUACAGGAGUCUCUUCCACAGCUCAGGAGGCUGUCCAUCCCAAAAGGCUUUACAGGUUGAUCGACCCUUCUUACAAAAUGCUUUGACUUCCAAGUGCUCAUGUACUUAUUGUGUUCUAAGUUCAGAAUACAAUUGCUUGUGGUUUGUAUGGUCCUCUC
Molecule: long non-coding RNA, 460 nt
Organism: Mus musculus (house mouse)
Lineage: Eukaryota; Metazoa; Chordata; Mammalia; Rodentia; Muridae
Product: predicted gene, 46657
Exons: 3
Source: RefSeq, a predicted model, not a curated record